AUGCGGUCCACUGGUCCCUCGAGCCCGUGCACACCUCCAAGAACGACGCCCCCAAGGGGGGAACGACAUAAGAACGCCGCCGUCUUCCGAUCAACUGAUUUAGGGUUUCCCCCGGAGGUAGCAGACAGUGACCUUGAAACUCUCCUCGGCGAUGCCUUCAAGAAGGGAAUGUCGCAAAAUAGCGCCGCCACCGCCGGCUUUGGCAGUAAGCCGAAAGCAAGUUUUCACCCGGAUCUGUUCGAAGGACCUCCAUCAAGCACUCGUGCACGGAUCGCCGCCAUCUUUGCCGUGGACUGGACGAUGGAUCCAGGCCGCCACAGGUGCUCCUCGACCGCGGGGAGAACGCGCCUGCGCUGUCGUUGCCAUCACAUUCGCCGGCGGGCGCCCGCUGCUCCUUGCCGCCGAUGCACAUCACUGUGUUCUUGUUCUCGAUACGAUAGCUUUAUUUAG
Molecule: ribosomal RNA, 450 nt
Filed under: Triticum aestivum (bread wheat)
Lineage: Eukaryota; Viridiplantae; Streptophyta; Magnoliopsida; Poales; Poaceae
Description: partial small subunit ribosomal RNA
Source: RNAcentral